UUUUUAUAGUUUAAAUAAAAAAUACUACACUGAAAAUGUAGAGAUAGUUUUUAAAAA
This 57-nucleotide transfer RNA is filed under the name Rhipicephalus haemaphysaloides. RNAcentral's name for it is "tRNA-Phe". Lineage: Eukaryota; Metazoa; Arthropoda; Arachnida; Ixodida; Ixodidae. The record is from RNAcentral.